GAUGAACGCUGGCGGCGUGCCUAAUACAUGCAAGUCGAGCGAACGGACGAGAAGCUUGCUUCUCUGAUGUUAGCGGCGGACGGGUGAGUAACACGUGGAUAACCUACCUAUAAGACUGGGAUAACUUCGGGAAACCGGAGCUAAUACCAGAUAAUAUUUUGAACCGCAUGGUUCAAAAGUGAAAGACGGUCUUGCUGUCACUUAUAGAUGGAUCCGCGCUGCAUUAGCUAGUUGGUAAGGUAACGGCUUACCAAGGCAACGAUGCAUAGCCGACCUGAGAGGGUGAUCGGCCACACUGGAACUGAGACACGGUCCAGACUCCUACGGGAGGCAGCAGUAGGGAAUCUUCCGCAAUGGGCGAAAGCCUGACGGAGCAACGCCGCGUGAGUGAUGAAGGUCUUCGGAUCGUAAAACUCUGUUAUUAGGGAAGAACAUAUGUGUAAGUAACUGUGCACAUCUUGACGGUACCUAAUCAGAAAGCCACGGCUAACUACGUGCCAGCAGCCGCGGUAAUACGUAGGUGGCAAGCGUUAUCCGGAAUUAUUGGGCGUAAAGCGCGCGUAGGCGGUUUUUUAAGUCUGAUGUGAAAGCCCACGGCUCAACCGUGGAGGGUCAUUGGAAACUGGAAAACUUGAGUGCAGAAGAGGAAAGUGGAAUUCCAUGUGUAGCGGUGAAAUGCGCAGAGAUAUGGAGGAACACCAGUGGCGAAGGCGACUUUCUGGUCUGUAACUGACGCUGAUGUGCGAAAGCGUGGGGAUCAAACAGGAUUAGAUACCCUGGUAGUCCACGCCGUAAACGAUGAGUGCUAAGUGUUAGGGGGUUUCCGCCCCUUAGUGCUGCAGCUAACGCAUUAAGCACUCCGCCUGGGGAGUACGACCGCAAGGUUGAAACUCAAAGGAAUUGACGGGGACCCGCACAAGCGGUGGAGCAUGUGGUUUAAUUCGAAGCAACGUGAAGAACCUUACCAAAUCUUGACAUCCUUUGACAACUCUAGAGAUAGAGCUUUCCCCUUCGGGGGACAAAGUGACAGGUGGUGCAUGGUUGUCGUCAGCUCGUGUCGUGAGAUGUUGGGUUAAGUCCCGCAACGAGCGCAACCCUUAAGCUUAGUCGCCAUCAUUAAGUUGGGCACUCUAAGUUGACUGCCGGUGACAAACCGGAGGAAGGUGGGGAUGACGUCAAAUCAUCAUGCCCCUUAUGAUUUGGGCUACACACGUGCUACAAUGGACAAUACAAAGGGCAGCGAAACCGCGAGGUCAAGCAAAUCCCAUAAAGUUGUUCUCAGUUCGGAUUGUAGUCUGCAACUCGACUACAUGAAGCUGGAAUCGCUAGUAAUCGUAGAUCAGCAUGCUACGGUGAAUACGUUCCCGGGUCU
This 1372-nucleotide ribosomal RNA is filed under the name uncultured bacterium. RNAcentral's name for it is "bacterial SSU rRNA". It matches the Rfam family "Bacterial small subunit ribosomal RNA", at positions 28 to 1381 of the family's 1533-position model. The record is from RNAcentral.